RNAcentral lists this ribosomal RNA (18 nucleotides) under Clonostachys rosea. Its description in RNAcentral is "partial 18S ribosomal RNA". The record is from RNAcentral. Lineage: Eukaryota; Fungi; Ascomycota; Sordariomycetes; Hypocreales; Bionectriaceae. RNAcentral also lists the same sequence under 1 other name.
CUUGCGGAGGGAUCAUUA